This is a long non-coding RNA of Prionailurus viverrinus (fishing cat), 341 nucleotides long. RefSeq lists it as uncharacterized. Lineage: Eukaryota; Metazoa; Chordata; Mammalia; Carnivora; Felidae. The record is from RefSeq and is a predicted model, not a curated record. The transcript has 2 exons.
CUCUUACCUCUUCAGUCCAUGCUAUCAACUGAGAUUUGUGAAAACUUCUGGCUACUAACAGUGUCAGUAUAUGCAGCUCACUGUCCCCAAGAGCACAGGUCACCACUACGCAACCAAGUCCAUGAUGGCAUCUGAGCGAGGAGAAUGCAGCUUUCACGGUAUGCAAGGGAAAGCAGACACCCUCUAAUUGAAUGAUACUGUUUACACAAGCAAUAGAGUAUUACAUCACUUUCCCUACAAAGAGAAGAGAAUGUAAAAUUUCAGAAAAGACAGAUAGCAAUUUCAUGUGUUGCUUGUCACCACAGUCCUCUCCAGCAUAAUAAAACACACAUGGAAAAAUC